This 324-nucleotide small RNA is filed under the name Oryza sativa Japonica Group (Japanese rice). RNAcentral describes it as "sRNA Os09g0469600". Lineage: Eukaryota; Viridiplantae; Streptophyta; Magnoliopsida; Poales; Poaceae. The record is from RNAcentral.
ACCAUUACAGUACACCACCUCAAGCUAGUAGCCACCUUCUCCCCAAGCACACACUCCCUCCCCCCAGCGCCGCCGCCGGCGUCUCCCCCGCCGCCGCGUGGGUCGCCGCCGCCGCCGUGGCCGCCGCCGCCGCGUUCUACUGAGAUCGAGGCUGAUGAGAUCCGCCGACCACCUCAUUAAUUUAUUACCCGUCCAUCAGAGGGACCCACCAUUCCUCCUCCUCCUCUCCUGAUCUCCUCCUUUUCCUUCUUCAUCUGUGGUGGUGGUGUUGAGCUGUUUAUUUUAUUUCUCUCUCUAUCUUUUUUUUCUUCCAUUUUUUUGGGC